CUCUGCUGGGUAUUUUUAGUGGGCAGCAAAGGGCAGCGCCCUGGGCGGGAGCAGGGGGAGCCUUGGAGCAGCUCCACGCAUGGGAAAGGGUGGAAUGUCCCCGAGGAGAGCCUGGCUGCGCUGGUGUCACCGCCAAGGUGACCUGGGGACAGCCCUUCAGAGGCGGGGUGUUUACAAGGCUUGAAGUGCCCCUGCCCCGGGCUCAGGAGAUUCUGGAAGGACAAGCCUCUUAAAUCAAACCUAACCCGGCUGCCGAGGGAAAUCCAGAGCUGCUCGGGGCAAGAGUUAAAAGGUGUUCUGCUGUCUCAUCAGAGAUCCCUCACCCUGUGAGGAGCCGCCUCCCAAUAUCCAGCCUCUUAAAUCCAGCCUAACCCGGCUGCCGAGGGAAAUCCGGAGCUGCUCGGGGCGAGAGUUGAAAUGCGUGAAGCGCCGAGAUCCAGGCCAGAUGUGGAACUCUCCGGGGCCACCGCGGGGCUUUGAGCCGCUCGUUUGACACCUCUGCUCUCGACAUUAAAAGUCCCAGCGGGGAGGAAAUCCUCCCGGCCCGAGUUCUGGGCUGUUUACCGAGGGGGGCAGCCCAAUAAAACCUGGAAUAAGAGUAAAUUAUUA
This is a long non-coding RNA of Motacilla alba alba, 609 nucleotides long. RefSeq lists it as uncharacterized. The record is from RefSeq and is a predicted model, not a curated record. The transcript has 3 exons. NCBI's taxonomy places the organism in Eukaryota, Metazoa, Chordata, Aves, Passeriformes, Motacillidae.